UCCAUUUGACUGCAUUUCACUUCCAGUUUGUAACACAAUACAGUAUGGGAAAGUUCAUGAGAGGGGAAAACUUACAAUUCAAUACACAGUACAGCAAAUUUGACCGAUUUAAGAGGCUGAAAUCUAGACUUUUCAAACACUGACUGAAGCCCCACCACUUCAAUCAGCAAGAUCUGAAUUAUCAUUUUUGUAUUAAUAAUGCGCCUUUUCAAUGGUUAUAUUAUUCUAGCAGUGGAGUAAAAGGGUGAGGUCAGAUUGUUCAAGUACAAUGGAGGGUUUAUUCGUUUGCAUUAGAAUUCAGACUCAUGCGUGUGUAUUCUUUGAUACUUUGUAAGUGUAAAAUCACUGAGGUAUUUUUAGGCAAAUUUCUUUUUUUAUAAAAAAAAAACAUAAAAACAUGAUUUGUACUGCCAUGAUAAGAAAGUGUUCUUCAAAGUAAAAACCUCAUAAUAAAUAAACCGGUUUCUCAUCAACUUUGCGUGAGGAAUCCAUUCAAAUCCUUUUGUUUCUCCAGCUGACAUUGAAGAUGGGUGUCGGUUACUCUUUCAAGUAAACUGCCAUAUAACAAUAACAUACUGCAGCAUGUGACGUAUGAAGAGCAGGUUAUGGAAUGUUUCUAAACGCUUGACUAACAUGCAAAUUACAUAACUGAUCAACACAGCAAGAUAGUUCAGUUCUGCAUGAAUGCUUCCUGUGCAAAUACUGAGCUUGUGUUACAGCCCAUGCAAGUAUGUCACAAAAGAAUGCUGUGUGUUUAUUGAAUUACUUCCUGUUAGAACUAAUUGUGCAUGAAUGUAGAUUCUGGAAUUGCAAAUAAUUCUUAUGCUGAAUUCUGAUUGGUCAGGAGGAGAUUUAUGAUUUUAUAUCAUUUUAAUUAAGGAAUGGAGUUAUUCAAUAUCUGGGAGAAUGAAACUAGUAGGAAAUGACAGUGGAAAUGGAAAUCUGGAGAUAUCACCACACCCUGGGAGAUGAAGAGGUAACAUCACUGUGACCUCGAUCCAGGAAGUAGUUCACAGCCAGCUGGAUUCCCAGGCAGGAAAAAACUUCCUUGUUCCCAUGACUGAACAGAAAUUUCAUAGAGAAAUUCAUCAAACUACUCAGGUCACGGGGAGCCUGUGCCUAUCUCAGGCGUCAUCGGGGAUCAAGGCAGGAUACACCCUGGACGGAGUGCCAACGCAUCACAGGGCACACACACACUCUCAGCACCAUUCAAGCUCUGUAAGUGCAUGACAUGUUUUCAACCAUUACUAAACCAUUCAUUCAUUCAUUUAUUCAUUCAUUCAUUCGUUUUCUACCUCUUAGAAAACCUAUCUCAGGUGUCAUCGGGCAUCAAGGCAGG
Molecule: long non-coding RNA, 1339 nt
Organism: Tachysurus fulvidraco (yellow catfish)
Lineage: Eukaryota; Metazoa; Chordata; Actinopteri; Siluriformes; Bagridae
Exons: 3
Source: RefSeq, a predicted model, not a curated record